Molecule: long non-coding RNA, 2047 nt
Organism: Bicyclus anynana (squinting bush brown)
Lineage: Eukaryota; Metazoa; Arthropoda; Insecta; Lepidoptera; Nymphalidae
Exons: 2
Source: RefSeq, a predicted model, not a curated record
AUCUUCAGAGUUUGUGGCAGUAUAAAUUUGUCUAAGAAGUUUGGAUAAACGUAAAUAAUAGAAUCUUAUUAUAUUUUUUACAUCAACAGAAAGUAGUGAUCAAAGAGUAAAAGUAUGUAAACCCCAACGUUUUAUUGAUACUCAUGGAUCUGAUAAUAUCCAAACGGAAACAGCCGAUGCAUUACGUUUCAUAGCUGAGUAUGAAGGCAGACCCGAUCCCGUUGACACUGGGAAUAUUGAUUUUAAAAAAGCAUACCUUACGCUAGCUGUUGCUUUGGAAGGCAUACCAUUACCGGAGGAUAAGGUCACUGAAGCUCUAUUUGCAAAAUGUAUGGCUGAGGUAGAAAAGACUGCCAGGGAACUUCUUAAAGGUCAACUAAAUUUAAAAAAGCUCAUUGAGUCCCUGGCGAAAACCCAGCCAAAGACAAUUGUAAUACAUUUUCUAGACCUACAGAAAACAAUGAACUUUCUGUUCUCCGAGAUUUGAUCACAAAAAUGAAUUACAACCCUUUAUAUAUAUCUGAAGCCAAUCUCAAAUUUGCCACAAAUCCUGCAAAAUUCAUAGAAGAGAAGUAGAGAGUAGUAGUUGAUGUAUACCACCAAUAAAUUCCAUAUUUAAAGGGUUCUGUAGUGUAGUAGUAGAACCCACCCACAGGUAUUUUCUUACCUGUUUGAUCUCAUACUGUAAGAUGUAGUUGAAUUUAGAAGUUCUUUAAGACUAUUGCAUUUAUUAUUAAAGUUAAAAGUGAUAAUUUUUUUAAGAGUAUAGUUGGCUGUUUUUUUUAUUCUUGAAUACAAUGUACUAUAAAUUAGGUAUGAUACCUUAAACACUGUCAUUGUAUAUUUUGAUUUAUGAUAACUUUAUUUUUUUAUGUGAUAUUGUUGAUAUUUUAGUUAAGUAGAUGAUGUUGAAGUAUGCUUCUUUAUUACAAGUAAUAUAAUGAAUGUUAGAUAUAGUUAAGAUUUGGGAGAAUAAACUCUUAGAAGAUUUUAAAUGCUACUUUUCUAUAUCCCAAAAACUUGUUCUGCUUCUGUUUCUUGGGUAUAAUAAUGGUAGAUAAAUAUUUAUCUUAGAAUAUAAACUAUCAUUAGUGAUACACUGAUAUUUUAUAGAGGAUUUGCAUUGAAUAGGUUCUGAAUUGCUGAACUGGUUUGAAAAAUUGUUUCAUCAAGAGCUACAUUAUAUUAUAUAACAGAAUGACAAGACUAUUUUUAAUCCCUGGUGACGCCGCCACAGAAAACAUGUACAAGUACACCGCUGAGGUCCUAUUACCAUUAUGUACAUACUUAUUAUUACUAUAUCCAUUAUGGAGUCUACAAACAAGACUACAUUUUUAUCCUUGUAUUCCAAUGACCAAUGGGAAUGGAAAUGAUGUGGAUAUAACUGGGUUAGCGGUACUGCUAGUAUGAAUAUGGCUCUUACUUUCAAACAAAUUAAUAAUACUGAUUUCAAACAAUCAGUCAAUGAUAUUGCUUUUUGAGAUGAAAAUAUGUAACAAUUUAACUUGAUGUAGCUAUUGUGGGAACUUUCUUAUGAUCAGUGUGUGAUUACAUUGUAUUAAAAAAAUUUAAUAAAAAAAAUUCAAAUUUUUUGCUUUUUAGUUUAGGGUAAUUUUUGAGUUGGAAGUCGGUUGAAUUUUUUUUAUUAAAUUUUUUUAUUUAUAUGUAUUUUUCAUUUAAUCAAUACAUAUAAAUAAAAGUAUCUGUGAUUUAAAAAUAACUGUGUUUUUUCUAGUACUUUUAGUUGUUUACACGACACUAAAAUACAGUUGUACACCAAUUUUCUUUCUACAAACGCUAACGUUAGUCUCACUAUUGAUCGCGAAUCUUUUGUCUUGCUAAACGUGGACAUUUAAAAGUUACCUUUUUCUUUUUAAGGUUUUUAACGUGACUUGUACAAUAAGCUCACCCCUCUUGAACGUUGCGUUGCUUGUUUUUUGUUUGCCAAAACUGUGAAAUUACUUUGUAGAUUGUAUGUUUUCAGUUCUUUUAUUUGAUUUUUAUUAAGUAUUUUAAGUGGCAAAUAAAUAGCUUGAAAAUAUUCAAC